Molecule: long non-coding RNA, 5131 nt
Filed under: Lotus japonicus
Lineage: Eukaryota; Viridiplantae; Streptophyta; Magnoliopsida; Fabales; Fabaceae
Description: long non-coding RNA (LJAP_LNC001300)
Source: RNAcentral
ACAAAGCACUUUCACACAUGUCAAUUGUGAAUAAACUUCAUUUUUUAAUCUUAUUUGAAAGUAAGUCAAGUGCGUCUCAAAAGCAUUUUAUCAUACAUACAUCAAGUGCGUCUCAAUAGCACCACCACAAAUGGCUAUGUAUCUCUUUCAAAAACAGCAUUACCUCGCGCCAUAGGGAUGAGAAUGUAAUGCAUAAGAGUAAUUAUACGGCUUAGUUUGACCAACAAAUGGGUCUCCACCAUAUUUUCCUCUUUAUCAAGGCUUAAGCCUCAUCCCCCUCGACGUAUCCAAGACAACUUUCUUGGUCAAUCCUUUAGCAAGAAGAUCAACAAAACUCUUUUAUCCUCUUACAUGCUCAAGGAAAAUCAAACAAUUCUUAAUCAAUUUCUUUGCAACAUGUAUGACAUGUAUUUCUCUCUAUUGCAAGCAUCGUUAUUGCCAACUCCAGCUGCUUCUUGUGAAUCACAAACACAAGCUUAAGCUCAAACUGAAUCAUUCAUAAACCUCAAGACACCUUAAUCCAAUAAUCAUAUUAUAAAUUCAAGAUCGAGAAUUUAUAGACAACAACACCAUGAGCAUAACCUAUGAAGCAAUGUGCUUUAGCAACAAUACUCUUUCCCUUAACAUCUGGUAUUUAAACUUUAGUCAAAUACCCCCACAAUUUUAUGAUUUUCAAGCAUAUGAAAAAUCAUUUCAACAACACUUAAACAAUUUUCACAAAUUUCAUCGAAAACCUUGUUAAGAAUAUAGCAAACACAACAUAGCAUUCAACAUUUUUCCUUUACCUUUUACCUUUCAGCUGCUAUGUCAUAUUGUUGUGUUAUAAUCAAAUCAAGCUAUUAAUAACCAACACAAAAUUAUAUCAAUUCAUCAAACUUAACAUCAUAUAAUUUUAAGGCUUAAUACAUCAGAAGACCCCUGAAAUUGUAAAGGGAAUCAGUUCCAGGGCCUGUAAAAUUUUUGCAUCAAAUUGGGUCCCUAAGAAUUUUAUUUUAAUUCAAUUAAGGACAAAGUGUGUCUGAUGCUGAAGUGACUUCAAUUUUAGCCUACUCAGCUUUUCCACGUGGCAUUUGGAAUUAUUUUUUAAUUGAAAAAUUUUAAAGCUUAAUUUUUUAAUUUCAAACCCUCUCAAAUUAACCCCAAAUCAUCUUCAUCAAAACCAAACUCAUGUUAAUUUUCAUUAACCUAGCAAAACCCACCAUUGUGUUCAACCCCAAACCAGAACAAGAUUCUAAAAAAAAAAAAAAAAAACAGAUAUGGGAUAGAACAAUAUUCUUCAGCCUUCUUCAACCUCCUACCUAGCUCCAUCUCUCCUUCAAUCUCUGAUACGUCUCCCUCUCUCACUCCUCCAUUGAACCUCAUCUCAUCUCCUUCACAAGCCAUCACUCAACAACCACAUAAACCCCAUUCAUUUCUUAGAAAGCUGAAUGUAUUUCCAUGAAACCCAGUGCAGAACAAACCUCCCACUUCACCAUCAAAGCAAGAACAACCCUCAAGCCUUUCCUCCGCAACCAGCCGCCACCAAAAUCAAAAACCACCAUUGAAUCUCUACACCCACAUCACACAGCAGCUACACACACCCGACCAAAACCCCACUCGUUGAUUCGAACCACCCACCUUUCACAAUCUCCAUUUCAACCACCAUAAAGCCUCACUGCAGCCAAAUCCAACACUACCCUCAAACCGUACCAAACCCAAAACCGUACCAAACCCUACCAAUAUCCAAUUUCUUGUUCUUGGUGAUGGAGGAGGAAGGAGAGCUUUGGGUUCAAUUUGGGGAUGAAAGGGUUUAAUUAUGGAUUGGUUAUAAUUAGAUUAUUAGGUUAGUUUAUUGUUUAGAUUAUUAGAAUGUUUAGUUAAGGGAUUAUUAGAUUAGGUUUUUAUUAAGUUUUUAAUUUUUUUUUUCUAAAUUAAAUAAUUGAGUUGGAAUUAAUUUUUUUUUUAAUUUAUUAAUUAAAAAAAAUUAUAAAAGCCGUGUGUAAUUGAUGACUAGGAAAAAAUUGAGGUCUGACAGCAUUUGGCCUUAAUUGAAUUAAAAAAAAAAAUUUAGGGACCCAAUUUGAUGCGAAAAUUUUACAGGCCCUAGAACUGAUUCCCUUUACAAUUUCAGGGGCCUUCUGAUGUAUUAAGCCUUAGCUAAUUGACUAUUUUGGGUUAAUACAUCAGAAGGCCCCUGUAAUUGUAAAGGGAAUCAAAUCCAGGGCCUAGAAAUUUUUUGCAUCAAAUUGGGUCCCUAGAAAUUUUUUUUUAAUUCAAUUAAGGCCAAAGUGUGUCAGCCUUCAAUUUUAUACCAGUCAUCAAUUCCAUGUGUCAUUUUGAUUUUUUUUAAUUGAAAAAAUUGAAUACUUAAUUUUUUUUAAUUCCAAGUCAUAAAUUAAAAACAAAAACUUAAUAAAAUCUUAAUACAAAAUCUAAACUAAUCACUAAUAAUCUCUAAUCUAAUCUAAAAACCUAAUCUAACCUAUUCAGCUGUGAUACAACCAGUACCUAUCACAACCUAGUAGUGAAGGAAAAUAAUCCCAACAAAUCUUCAAGAUGAACAUUACAGCCCCAAUUACAAGUAAAUUAACCAAACAAUAUAAUAAACAAAUUUGGUUGUUCACCAUCAGCAAGAUACCCAACAUUGAUUUAACAAAGGGACCAUUCACCACCAUCAACAAUAUAACAGAGUAAUAGACUGAUGGGUCUUCCAAGUGCAGAGAAGAACGAGUCAAAAAUAAAGAGAAACAUGUGAAAGAACCCAGACCGGAGAAGCAUGAGAGAAACCCAAAUCAAGAGAAAAAUUAAAAUUCCUAACCUAAUGAAAAAAACCCAAGAUCUGUAACCAAAAGAAGAAAAAAAAAACCCCUCAUCUGAUUCAUCAUCUUCUUCCGCUUCCAUCAACACCAACUUUCCCGCUCCCAAAAUCUCACCUCCAUGCCUGAGCCCUCAGUAAAGCAGACGCUCGAUUCGAAGGUUGAGUUUGCAGAAGACGUCGACAUCGUCGAAGGCCGCAACAGCGAUUGGGAGAUCGUGGAGCUCGAUGUGGAGGAAGGCGGCACUGGUGGAGGAAGGCGGCACUAGUGGAGAUCGUGGAGGUUGGGCCUCAGACAGAAGAGGUUGGCUAUGCUUUCCACCAGUCAAGAAGAAGGAAGAUUAGGUUAGGUUUAUUUUCUGGUUAGGUUUAUUUUCAGAUUAGGUUAGAUUUUUUUUUUAGAUUAGAUUAGGUUUUUUUUAAAUAGUAUGAGUUGGUUUUUUAUUAAGUUUUUAAUUUUUUUUCUGAUUAAAUUAUUGAGUUGGAAUUAAAAAUAAUUUUUUAUUAUUUUUUAAAUUAAAAAAAGCCACGUGGAAUUGAUGACUGGGAUAAAAUUGAGAGCUGACACACUUUGGCCUUAAUUGAAUUAAAAAAAAAAUUCUAGGGACCCAAUUUGAUGCAAAAAUUUUCUAGGCCCUGAAUUUGAUUCCCUUUACAAUUACAGGGGUCUUCUGAUGUAUUAAGCCUAUAAUUUUAUACUGGUAUAUAUAUUGCACAUUGUCAACUUCCUGUUAAGCCAAGAAGACAAAUCUCAAACAUUACAUCUAUAAGCUUUGAAUCAUUACAAAGCUACAACCCGUGUUACACAUGAAGCUGAUCUAAUCACAUAAGUCAACAUAACCUGAUGAAUAUCAUAUUUAUUCAUACAUAUCAUUUAUCAAUAGGUAGACUUAGUCUCAUAAAAUAUAUCAAAUAUAAGUCCACUAAAUCUCAUGCAUAACGGGACUUAGCCAAAUCAGUCUCAAAGGUUCGAUCUUUAUAGAUAUAUGAUAUCCUUAUGUCAAGUAAAUUAACAUUAUCAAUUAUGAGAUGAUCUGACUUUGCCCGUGGUGCCUUCAUUAUUAUAAUUUCUUCUAGCAUCGAGAAAUUUUCUAAAGUCAUCAUCACAUAUUUUGCCACAUAGAGAUGCGGAUACGUACCUGGGCUUUGACCCAAAUUUUGAAAACCACCAGUCUCAUGCAAGCGCAGGUGAAAGGGUGGAAGUUCCUCUCCUUUAAGCUUUCUCACCCUUCACUUAAAAGACAAGGUUUUCAUGUCCAGGAGAAGAAUCCCUACAAGCAUCACAAACCACUCUUUCAUGGAUUCCACCCGUCGAAGCAGUCACACAAAAAGCAAAGGAGAUGAACAUAAUUAGUUAAAACGCAUUUUCAUCUUCUCAUUCUUAGCAUUUGAAUCAUUUUAUGAAAGAGACAAAGAAAUACAUAUCUUUCAAGCAGCACGCCAACGACACUAACAAGAGUAAAAUAAUUUUUGCUUUCAAAUUGUUGGAAAUAUUAGGAAGAUUGUUGCGACGUGGACGAACCACUGCCUUGAAAGCAAAAAUUCUGGCAGAUCUCCGGUGCAAUCCAUUACCGGGUUUGCUCUCCAAGGUUAACACAGCCGCAUGUAAGGCACUGUACACUCAGAACCUACACAUGCUGGAGUCUCUACAACAACAGUGCUCAAAAUUUACAAAAAGAAGAAGUAGUUCUUUAUUUUUAUUUUUCUAUCUCAUACAUAGUCCUAGCGGCACCUUAUUCUUUAUAGAAUAGCCUCAUCACCCUCUGCCAUCCAACCGUUAUACCACCAUCAAAAUACAAAUAAAGGUGGAGUUAGAGGCAUCAAAGCUGGACAAGAGGAAUACCAACGUAUAUCUCCUCUUAAUGAUAUUAAAAUAGUUUAAAACCCUUUGAAAGUUUCAACUAUUCCAAUCCAAACGGUGAGGUCAAAUAUAAGGCUUAUUAUUCUUAAAUAAAUGAUUUGAAAUGUCAUUAAUUCCAACAGUAAUCAUAUACACACCAAGAAACUCCUCAAUUGAAAAACUAUUGUCAAGUUUUUAUAUUAAAGAUAUGGUCCUGCAUGCCCAUACUAACACUAUUUUGUGUAUUGUAUGGUUUUUUAGACAAGAGGUUAUUUCCAAAAAAAAAAUUAACUUUAUUCUAUUAAAAUAAUAUCCAUUUUUUUCUUUAUUCUAUCAAAGUUACUUAUAUCAAACUUACUUUUGUCGUCCUCGAAUGAUAGCUCAAGUGGUAAGAGUUAGAGACAUAUGAGUUCGGUGUGGGAGGUCCAAUUAAUGAUCAAUUUCUGAAUAGAGAAAAAGUUUGAUGCACCGACGGUGUAAAGUUUUUUUACACCGUC